UACGUAGGUGGCAAGCGUUGUUCGGAAUUAUUGGGCGUAAAGGGCGCGUAGGCGGUUUGUUAAGUCAGCUGUGAAAGCCCGGGGCUCAACCCCGGAGAGUCGACUGAUACUGGCAGACUAGAGUACGGAAGAGGUAGCUGGAAUUCCCGGUGUAGCGGUGAAAUGCGUAGAGAUCCGGAGGAAGACCGGUGGCGAAGGCGGUCUGCUGGGCAGUUUCUGACACUGAGGCACGAAGGCCAGGGGAGCAAACGGG
RNAcentral lists this ribosomal RNA (253 nucleotides) under uncultured bacterium. RNAcentral's name for it is "partial 16S ribosomal RNA". It matches the Rfam family "Bacterial small subunit ribosomal RNA", at positions 524 to 776 of the family's 1533-position model. The record is from RNAcentral.